This is a long non-coding RNA of Columba livia (rock pigeon), 1648 nucleotides long. RefSeq lists it as uncharacterized. NCBI's taxonomy places the organism in Eukaryota, Metazoa, Chordata, Aves, Columbiformes, Columbidae. The record is from RefSeq and is a predicted model, not a curated record. The transcript has 4 exons.
UGGGGCAAAAGCCUCAACUGUAAUAGAAAUUUCCAUGGAAACACUCUCUUCUGUGAUCUAUUCUAUUGCUUCUUCUUUUAGCUCCUGUUAGAAAUACAAAACCACCACUUCAGUGAACGCUAUCUAUCUAUCUGUCUGUCUGUCUGUCUGUUUAUUUUUUAAAUUGGGGGAGGCAAGGCUAUUUCACAAGGGCAAAAAAAUACAAAAAAACAAGCCCUAAUAUUUUUGCCACACAUUUCUUCAGUUUGUUGCCCAGGAUAUACAUGUCAGUGUGUGCCACACGAUACCUGGACAAGACCCUACUGAACGACUCUUUGCACUCCUUGACCAAGAAGAAGAUAAAGGGGAAGGAAAAGCACAUGACAGAUGAGUUUCAUUUCUUCAUUUAUACCUAUGAGCUUCCUGUAAAAUGGAACAGCAUGAAUGAGGGACAAGCUGACCGCAUCUGAACACUUGGUAUCAUCAAGAAGAUAGCUACUGCCUCUUCUGGGAGGUGAAAAUUUCUGCAAGCUCUGACACCCUGGCAAGAAGAACAAGAACAGGGGCUGUUCAGGCAAGCAGUUGAUCAGGUUAACAGUGACAAUAAAGGAGUUUGACAAAGAUCAUGGAGAAAUAUGACAUGGAGAAGAAUAUGGAGAAACUGACAUUUGAUCAAAACACUACCUGUAAUUUAAUUUUGUGUAAUGCUUCAUACCUGUCAGGACGUAAGGGUAGUUGUGGUUUUAUACAUGUACGUUUUUCAUUCUAUUGUAAUUUCCACAAUCACACAGUAUUGCUAGAGUUAAAAUGAUAUUUCUGUUCUUUUCCAGACUGAAUUGCUUUUCUAGUCAGAUAUACAACUGAAUAUCUAAUAAGGGUUAUUUUUUAAAUGUAGUUCAGUAUACUUUUGUUCAAUUUGAUAUAAGAAGGGGAAGGUUGAGGGUUUUUUCCUAUAUGUGAACGAACUUUUUAUCUUCUGAAUCGAAGACACGGCCAUUCUAGUUGCAGUAUAGUUCUUUUGAGAUGAUGGUGAUAGGAACAAUGCAGAAUAUACAUGUUUAUUUACAAUUUUGUUGUCAGUAUUUCUUACCAUCCUUAAUUAUCAUGGGUCUUCAAGAAUUUACACACUGAAGUCCAACUUCAGAAUGAAUGGGACUACUCCCAUUCAGAAAUAAGCAGAUUCAAGAGCAGACUGUGUGAGUGUAAGCCAAUGAAACCAAAAAUAUUUCUGACAUUCCCCACUAGAUGUGUUCUACACUGCUGUGACAUUUGAUCAAGGUGUGAUAACUGCACAGAUAAGAAGUAUGGGUGUAGGGUGUGGUUGUUUGUAUUGGAGCAAUUUAUAAGAUGAUUAGAGGAGAGAAAAACUGUCCAAUAUGUUUUUAGCUCGUGCUUUCUAAGCUUAUGGUGAAACAAAGGCUAGAUUAAUGUUGAUUUGGAGUUAGAAACAAUACAAACAUGACUAUGCUAACAUACUGCUGUCAUUGUAAUAGUACUAAAAUCAUCCCUUGUCUCUAAGUGCAACUAAAAUAUCAUUCUGACUUCUGAAUGAGAAAAUCAUAAAUAUUUUAAAAGAAUUUUUGUUCCAGAUGCCCUAUUUCUCUGUCUUCUCUGUUAAGUAGUUACUGAACAAAAAAUAAAACAUGGCUGUUAAAUGUGCCAAUAAGAA